This 540-nucleotide ribosomal RNA is filed under the name uncultured bacterium. RNAcentral describes it as "partial 16S ribosomal RNA". It matches the Rfam family "Bacterial small subunit ribosomal RNA", at positions 355 to 911 of the family's 1533-position model. The record is from RNAcentral.
UGGGGAAUAUUGCACAAUGGGCGAAAGCCUGAUGCAACAACGCCGCGUGAGUGAUGAAGGUCUUCGGAUUGUAAAGCUCUGUCUUUUGGGACGAUAAUGACGGUACCAAAGGAGGAAGCCACGGCUAACUACGUGCCAGCAGCCGCGGUAAUACGUAGGUGGCGAGCGUUGUCCGGAUUUACUGGGCGUAAAGGGUGCGUAGGCGGAUGUUUAAGUGAGAUGUGAAAUACCCGGGCUUAACUUGGGUGCUGCAUUUCAAACUGGAUAUCUAGAGUGCAGGAGAGGAGAAUGGAAUUCCUAGUGUAGCGGUGAAAUGCGUAGAGAUUAGGAAGAACACCAGUGGCGAAGGCGAUUCUCUGGACUGUAACUGACGCUGAGGCACGAAAGCGUGGGUAGCAAACAGGAUUAGAUACCCUGGUAGUCCACGCCGUAAACGAUGAGUACUAGGUGUAGGAGGUAUCGACCCCUUCUGUGCCGCAGUAAACACAUUAAGUACUCCGCCUGGGAAGUACGAUCGCAAGAUUAAAACUCUAAAGUGAA